AGAGAGCUUGCUCUCGGGUGACGAGCGGCGGACGGGUGAGUAAUGUCUGGGAAACUGCCUGAUGGAGGGGGAUAACUACUGGAAACGGUAGCUAAUACCGCAUAAUGUCGCAAGACCAAAGUGGGGGACCUUCGGGCCUCAUGCCAUCAGAUGUGCCCAGAUGGGAUUAGCUAGUAGGUGGGGUAACGGCUCACCUAGGCGACGAUCCCUAGCUGGUCUGAGAGGAUGACCAGCCACACUGGAACUGAGACACGGUCCAGACUCCUACGGGAGGCAGCAGUGGGGAAUAUUGCACAAUGGGCGCAAGCCUGAUGCAGCCAUGCCGCGUGUGUGAAGAAGGCCUUCGGGUUGUAAAGCACUUUCAGCGGGGAGGAAGGCGUUAAGGUUAAUAACCUUGGCGAUUGACGUUACCCGCAGAAGAAGCACCGGCUAACUCCGUGCCAGCAGCCGCGGUAAUACGGAGGGUGCAAGCGUUAAUCGGAAUUACUGGGCGUAAAGCGCACGCAGGCGGUCUGUCAAGUCGGAUGUGAAAUCCCCGGGCUCAACCUGGGAACUGCAUUCGAAACUGGCAGGCUAGAGUCUUGUAGAGGGGGGUGAAUUCCAGGUGUAGCGGUGAAAUGCGUAGAGAUCUGGAGGAAUAUCCGGUGGCGAAGGCGGCCCCCUGGACAAAGACUGACGCUCAGGUGCGAAAGCGUGGGGAGCAAACAGGAUUAGAUAGCCUGGUAGUCCACGCCGUAAACGAUGUCGAUUUGGAGGUUG
Molecule: ribosomal RNA, 759 nt
Filed under: uncultured Enterobacteriaceae bacterium
Lineage: Bacteria; Pseudomonadati; Pseudomonadota; Gammaproteobacteria; Enterobacterales; Enterobacteriaceae
Description: SSU rRNA
Rfam family: Bacterial small subunit ribosomal RNA
Source: RNAcentral